GAGAGAAGCUUGCUUCUCUUGAGAGCGGCGGACGGGUGAGUAAUGCCUAGGAAUCUGCCUGGUAGUGGGGGAUAACGUUCGGAAACGGACGCUAAUACCGCAUACGUCCUACGGGAGAAAGCAGGGGACCUUCGGGCCUUGCGCUAUCAGAUGAGCCUAGGUCGGAUUAGCUAGUUGGUGGGGUAAUGGCUCACCAAGGCGACGAUCCGUAACUGGUCUGAGAGGAUGAUCAGUCACACUGGAACUGAGACACGGUCCAGACUCCUACGGGAGGCAGCAGUGGGGAAUAUUGGACAAUGGGCGAAAGCCUGAUCCAGCCAUGCCGCGUGUGUGAAGAAGGUCUUCGGAUUGUAAAGCACUUUAAGUUGGGAGGAAGGGUUGUAGAUUAAUACUCUGCAAUUUUGACGUUACCGACAGAAUAAGCACCGGCUAACUCUGUGCCAGCAGCCGCGGUAAUACAGAGGGUGCAAGCGUUAAUCGGAAUUACUGGGCGUAAAGCGCGCGUAGGUGGUUUGUUAAGUUGGAUGUGAAAUCCCCGGGCUCAACCUGGGAACUGCAUUCAAAACUGA
RNAcentral lists this ribosomal RNA (569 nucleotides) under Pseudomonas sp. Y4_348_2. RNAcentral describes it as "bacterial SSU rRNA". It matches the Rfam family "Bacterial small subunit ribosomal RNA", at positions 71 to 636 of the family's 1533-position model. Lineage: Bacteria; Pseudomonadati; Pseudomonadota; Gammaproteobacteria; Pseudomonadales; Pseudomonadaceae. The record is from RNAcentral.